Equus asinus (donkey) is the source of this 2223-nucleotide long non-coding RNA. NCBI's taxonomy places the organism in Eukaryota, Metazoa, Chordata, Mammalia, Perissodactyla, Equidae. The record is from Ensembl.
GUUUGCGAGGCUGGCCCUGAGGCAAAUUGCGAGCCAGGUAUCGGUGUCCUGCUGGUACUGCUGUGAUGGGGCGUGCAGAGAGCUUUUUCCUGUGGACCUGCAGUUAGAAAUACACAAAGACCAGAGGACCUCAUGUAUGCAUGGAGGACCUCACACUGGGUACCUCACAUUGGGUACCUCAUAGCGGCUGCCUCAGGAGGCCCCUGGCAACCAGCAUUCUGCUUUCUGACUCUAAGAAUGAAAACUCCAGGGACCUCGUGUAAGUGGAAUCAUACAGUAUUUGUCUUUUUGUGACUGGCUUGUUUCACUUAGCAAAAUGUCCUCAAGAUUCAUCCAUGCUGUAGCCUGUGUCAGAAUUUCCUUCCUUUUUAAGGCUGAAUAAUAUUCCAUUCUAUGUGUGUACCACAUCUUGUUUAUCCGUUCAUCUGCUGAUGGACCCUUGCGUUCCUUCCACCUUUUGGCUAUUAAACUGAUUUUUAAAAUCAUGCAUUUGUUCAGAAACUUUAAAGAAAGUUUUAAAGUACUUUUCCAUAUAUGAUCUUGCUUUAUUCUACGUAUCUUCUUCAUUGCACAUAGGAAUAAAUUCAUAGGGUUACUAUUUUACAAGUUUUGAAAGGGAAGUCAAUCACGAAAGGUGGAAAACCACCAUGCAAAGCAUGCCAAUUGCAACCAGUCCAUGGAGCAGCCUUAACAAGGGCACAGAGGGUGAAGAGGCCCCAGCUCUGUUCUCUGGGGCAGCCCUGGGUAUCGGGUUACCCCUGACACCCAGAUUGGGGCAGGCAGGAGAAGGAAGGGCUUGCUGAGACCCUGGCAUUUAUGAUCUGCUGUCCUGUUUUUUGACUGCAGGCAAAAAAUACAAUGGGUUCAAUGUUGCUAUAACAUAAAGGAGGUCAGAAUGCAAAGAAGAUCAAACUCCCUUGUAAUUCGUUUGUUAGACCUAAUGUUUCAUAGCGCAGGAUUAGGGAGAUUUUUCAUCAUAGUUAUCCCUAUCAUAAAGAAACUUCUAGAGUUAAUGAUUAGAGAAAGCAGCUGAAGAAUCUGACAAGUAUUUGAUGAGCUCACCAACAUUCAUUCAGCCAUUCAACAAAUAUUUUUAAGGACCUGGUGGGUAUCAGCAAUUUCACAGGGGUUGUCUCACUUUGACCUUGCAAGAACCCUCUGCAGCAGGCCUGUUCAGUCACAUUUUAUAAGGUUAGUACCAGGCACGGUGCUGAGGGCAGCACAGCAUGUGGGCCCUGCAGGCAGGGGAGCCUGGCCUGGCUCCACAUUAGCAGCUGGGCCACCUGCAAAAGCGAUUUUGCCCCCCUGAGUUUCAGUUUCCACAUCUCUAAAAUGAGGCCGAUAAGAACGUCCACCUCCUUGGGCUGUUGAGGAUGGAAUGAGAUAGGUGCAUAAGGUUUAGCCCAUUGAUUGGCAGACAGGUGGCAUUCAAUACAUAUCACCCAUUAUUGCAUGGAUGCAUUUCUUUCAGUUGACUUGCCCAACAACCCCAUGAGGACUAUAUUCUUAAUAUGCCCAUUUUACAGAUGAGAAUACAGUAGCUCAGAGAGGGUGAAUAACCAUCCAAGAUCUUGUGUGCCCGCAGUAAAUAACGGGUGGCGUUCAAACCUGUAGUCUGGGCCAGCCUGGUGGCGUAGCAGUUAAGUUUGCACGUUCCACUUCGGUGGCCCGGGGUUCGCCAGUUCGGAUUCCAGGUGUGGACAUGGCACCACUUGGCAAGCCAUGCUGUGGCAGGCGUCCCACAUAUAAAGUAGAGGAAGAUGGGCACAGACGUUAGUUCAGGGCCAGCCUUCCUCAGCAAAAAGAGGAAGAUUGGUAGCAGAUGUUAGCUCAGGGCUAAUCUUCCUCAAAAAUAAGCUGGAGUCUAGUUCCGAUCCCAGAUCUCCAUUCGACAGCUGUCUGUGGAGCUGGACCCCCCGGCCAGGAAGUCUGUGAGGCAUGAUGACACCACGCUCCACUGUCCUGGGAUGGCUGUCCUGACCGCAGCUGGGGGAAGUCAACAGGCCGUGCUCAGUCCCAGGAGGUGGUCUGGGCCCCAGCAGCAUCCUUAACUACACACUGCCACUGGGGUACAAAACCUCUAGACCCCAGCUCUCAACGAAUGCCCAUGCCAAUGACGUGACCCGCUCUCAUCUGCAAACCCCGAGACUCUUUUCCUGAGUCUUCAUACGCCUCCCUCCUCACCUCCGUCUUCUCAUCUCUCAUCGCGUCUUUGCCUUCCCG